AACGUUCAUCUCUCUAAAAAUCGCGAAUCGAUUUGAUUCCCUAUUAGGGAGACGGAAGUAGGGAGUAUUUACAUAGUCAUCCCGAAGGAACGCGCC
Molecule: non-coding RNA, 96 nt
Filed under: Planktothricoides sp. TH3
Lineage: Bacteria; Bacillati; Cyanobacteriota; Cyanophyceae; Oscillatoriales; Oscillatoriaceae
Also listed under: 1 other name
Description: Planktothricoides sp. Glutamine-I sequence
Rfam family: Glutamine riboswitch aptamer (glnA leader)
Source: RNAcentral